Molecule: ribosomal RNA, 446 nt
Filed under: uncultured bacterium
Lineage: Bacteria
Description: bacterial SSU rRNA
Rfam family: Bacterial small subunit ribosomal RNA
Source: RNAcentral
GCCAGACUCCUACGGGAGGCAGCAGUGGGGAAUAUUGCACAAUGGGCGAAAGCCUGAUGCAGCAACGCCGCGUGAAGGAAGACGGUUUUCGGAUUGUAAACUUCUGUUCUUAGUGAAGAAUAAUGACGGUAACUAAGGAGCAAGCCACGGCUAACUACGUGCCAGCAGCCGCGGUAAUACGUAGGUGGCAAGCGUUAUCCGGAUUUACUGGGUGUAAAGGGCGUGUAGGCGGGACUGCAAGUCAGAUGUGAAACCCAUGGGCUCAACCCAUGGCCUGCUCUGGAAACUGUAGAACUAGAGUGCAGGAGGGGUAAGUGGAAUUCCUAGUGUAGCGGUGAAAUGCGUAGAUAUUAGGAGGAACACCAGUGGCGAAGGCGGCUUACUGGACUGUAACUGACGUUGAGGCUCGAAAGCGUGGGGAGCAAACAGGAUUAGAUACCCUUGUA